Molecule: ribosomal RNA, 275 nt
Filed under: uncultured bacterium
Lineage: Bacteria
Description: partial 16S ribosomal RNA
Rfam family: Bacterial small subunit ribosomal RNA
Source: RNAcentral
GCGUGAGUGAUGAAGGCCUUAGGGUUGUAAAGCUCUUUUGUCCGGGAAGAUAAUGACGGUACCGGAAGAAUAAGACACGGCUAACUUCGUGCCAGCAGCCGCGGUAAUACGAAGGUGUCUAGCGUUGUUCGGAAUCACUGGGCGUAAAGCGCGCGCAGGCGGACUAUCAAGUCUGGGGUGAAAGCCCGAAGCUCAACUUCGGAAUUGCCUUGGAAACUGAUAGUCUGGAGUGCAAUAGGGGAUAGCGGAAUUCCAAAUGUAGAGGUGAAAUUCGU